CUCAGAGCUGAUCGACUUCAGCUUCAGCAUGGAGCCUUCAGUCGCAAAACUUGUGUGCGUGAGGACGAGCAGUAAGGGAUAUCCUCCACCUUUCUAGCCUCUGGCCUGAGCUGUACAGUUAUGAUGCAGUCCAGAGGAAUGACUCCCUGCAGAGUGUGCCGCUCGAUGGGAAACUUCAGAUUCAAAGUGAGCUUCAUUGUUCCAGCCGUGAGAUGAGAAAUCUCUUCUUCACG
Larimichthys crocea (large yellow croaker) is the source of this 233-nucleotide long non-coding RNA. RefSeq lists it as uncharacterized. The record is from RefSeq and is a predicted model, not a curated record. The transcript has 3 exons. NCBI's taxonomy places the organism in Eukaryota, Metazoa, Chordata, Actinopteri, Sciaenidae.